GUUAACGAUUUUCCCUAAUGCGAUCAAUAAUCGCUCGCUCCCGCUUCCACUCGCACGCUCGUCCGCAAAAACCAAGAAGAACUGAAAAAGUCUGCAACUCCAACUCCGAUGGAGACGGGGGUCUGCUGCUCCGAGCGCAAUUCCGUCUGGGGUUUGGUUGAGAGACUCGACUCUCCUACUACAUCGACUGGGGACUGUGCCGCCUCUGAGAACUGCGACACGGGCAUAUGACGCUCUAUGUUUUGCCAGAGAACAAAAAACAGAACGCCUUUUGCCUCCCAAAGAAGACAUUAAUAAUAUAUAUCUAUAUGUGUAUGCGUGGUGUGUGUGUGUGCCUAGUGUUGUUUUUUUUUUUUGCUCAUUCGUUCGUUUUUUAGACCCUCUGCACAUUUGAGGUUAAGGUAUGCCAAUGUCACUCUCAUUCAUUCUCAUUCACAUUCGUGGCAUGGCAUUCGAGGCAUCGCGAGCGGCACCAACAGCAGCAGAAGCAUCAACAGCAGAGCGCAUCUUUCCUUUUUGGCAAGUCAUUGCGAAAGUGACCCAGUUCUGGCCUCAUUCCCAGACCCAUCCUCCAACGGAUGUCUACUACCUGAAGAUGGAAACUGGACUCUGGACCAUUCAUUGAUGCAAAUAAAGAGCGCGUGGAUGUGAAUGUGGAUGUGGAAUACUUCCUGGUAGACAGGCUAGAGAGCUCUUCUGUUUUAUGGCCGCGGAUAAAACGCAUUUUAAUUUCGGUUAUAAAGAAGAUUCGGAACGGGUUCCACACUACACCGUACACCGCUUGACGCCUUCCAUUGUGCAUUCCGCUCUUAACCCUUUCACUUAGCCAAAGAUGCCAGUGUCUGAACUUGUGUGUGUAUCUGUGUGAUGUGUGGGUGUAUUCGAGUGUUCAUGUGUGUGUGUGUGCGAGGCUCGUUAUUGCAGCCAUAAACGAAUUGUUUGCUUCAUUUCUCAAUGAAACGCUGCACUCAAUUAAGAUCUACCUGAAGAUACUGUAAUUUGCGGAAAUUCCUCAUUUCCCAUAUUGUCACGAACAAUGUUCUAUUCAAUGUAGUUUUUCUAAUAGUCUAAAUUUAGGCGCUGUAUUUGGAUAUCGUUCCCCCAUUACGGUAUUCAAUGAGGGACCCUUAUGUUGGUGGUUCCCAAACCAUCACAUAGAUAAUGUGGAAUUAUUUGAUAUUUCGCUCUUCGUUCUAUUAAUAUGUCAACCAAAUAUUGACCCAAGCAAUCAUAUUUCCGGAAGUUCCAAAACACCCUAUUUACAUAUGGGCCAUUCCUAUGAGUCAUAAUAAUUUUCAAAGAUAUGUAUUUUUUUCCGUAUUUCCGUUUUUUGGAAAGGAUUUCAUUAUACUCGUAUGGAGACAUUGACAUUAACAGGAUGGUUAUUAAUCAUUAAACUAUAGAUACCUAUCUACAAAUGUACAUAUUUAUCUAUGUUCAUAAAUAUAUGUAUGUACAUAUAGAUUAAUUAUGAUCUCGUUAAUAUCAAUAUACAGCUGUGUACAUAUUUAUAACUCGCCUUUAUAUAAUAUAUGUACAUACAUAUAGUCUAAUUUUUUUCACUCACCGAAACAUUCCUUAAUGAUUUCCAUGAAAAUAUUGGCUUAAGGCAUAUUUACAUAUUUAUGUACAUAUGGAAGGUCAUACAUCUACAUAAUCGGGUCUAAAUCUGUUUAUAUGCACAGGCAACAGAGCAGUCCAACAUCUAUAUCUCAUCUUGACAUUAUCAUUAAACAUCAAACAUCUUGGCAUGGACUUUACUUACAUACAUAUAUGAAUAUCUUUAUGUGCACUUCUAAUCACCGUAAUGUGCUUAUAUGUUAUAUAUUUUUAUUGUAUUUCACAGGCCAUUCAAGUGGCUCUGGCUCAUUAAUGAUUGCUUGUGUGUUUUGUGUGCUAUAGAGUGGCAGAAGCGCAUCACGCUUUUAUAAUAAUAUAUAUCCGUAGAGUACACUUUUUUGGCGUAGACUCUUGGCAAAUACUCGUAGUAAUGGCAGCAGUCCAAAAAUGUACAUAAAUGUGUACGUACGCGUAUUUAUUUACCUUUUAGUCAUUUAUCUAUUUAUUUAUUUACUUUAAAAGCGCGCCACUGUUGGUUGUAUGGGGGUUCCAUUCAGUUUGGUUUCACUAGGGUAGGAUUGGGUUUUGCAACGACACGAUUUUAUACAGUGUGGGUUCGGCUGCACUCGGAUGGCAAAUCGGGUCUAAGCCCUGCUCAAACUUUUUAAUUAGUUCCAAUUGUUGGGGCGCACACGUCCCCCAGCAUCCCUUCAGUGCAUACUUGCGUAAAAUAUUGACUUUACUACUUUUUUCACAGCGAUGUUUUGAUUUUGUUGUUGAUAUUACUUUAAAAUGCUGCGCUUUUUGUUUGUUUUAAGCAUUUCUGUGACGCAUGCGCCAUGUGGCAAUGACUCUACAGAGACCCAUACAUAAAUAUAUUUAUAUCUACAAAAAGCAUUUGACCAACAUUUCUCAGAUAGAUGACGUCUGCUGUCUGACUGUCGCUUGGCAUGUAUCCGUAUCUGUUUCGGUUUCUGUAUCUGUAUUUUUAUUGUUAUUGUUAUUAUUUGUGAUUGUUGAUUUAUUUGUUUGUUCAAUAUUUUCACACAAAUUAAAAUACUUUGCCCACUCGUUGCCCUGUUCGCAUGUAUGUUCGUACAAAUCGGAAUCAGCGGACAGCCGACAGUGGGCAUCAAUUUCGGUUAAAUUGUUAUCUUUCUGCUCGUUUUUUUUUGGCUUAGACCAAUUAUCGAUGCUCAUUAGUGAUUAUUUAAUCAUUUGCAUCAACAACAGAAGAUCGCAACAUUCUAAUAUAUCGCUUAAACAAAUCUCCCCAGAUCAUGCGAAUUCUGAAAUUUGCGUUCGGCACUUUGCAUGUACAUAAAUCGAAGGCACGUGCCUUCAUUUGGAGGCUGGUUCUCGUGUCUUUGGUGAGUCCUUUAGCUCGAGAGAAAUAUUCUUGUACAGUUUCCCAUGUUCCAGUUGAGUAAUACUUACUCACAACACCUUCUAUAUGGGCCAGCACAAUUUAGCUAAAUUUGAAAUAUUUGUUCGGUUCUUUUUAACAAAUUAGUGAUUAAUUUAUUGCAGAAUUCUCAUGAAAUCUUAAUGGAUUCACUCUUAAGUGAAGUUAUCCAACCUAUGGUACAUAUUUUGUAUAUUUUAGCAGUUGUCUGAAUGGUUGUGUAUCUUCAGUGGGUAGCUGUUUUAUGCGUCUCUGUGUUGCAUGUGCCGUAAUGAGCGUAACCAUAAAAGCGUCUUUUGUUUUACGACCGCAUUGCGCGCGUGUUUGCCGUAGACAACAAUACAGAACAACAAUGCCAAUUUUAUGGCUGCCCCUGCCACGCAGACAAUGCCCCGGCGAACCGCAGCCCAGCAUCCGCAGAUACGAUGCUCGCCGCACAGAUACAGAUACGCACACAGCCGGCCAAAAGGUGACACCGAAACUAGAGCAGUUUCCAAAGGGUAAAGGAGAGCGUACGGGAUGCCGCGGUCUUGCAUUAAUUAGAGCGCGUUGGACAGAGGGCAGCGGCAUGGAAGGGUGGCGGCGGUGGCGGACAGGGAUCCGAUUACUUUCUUCGGAGCCAUAAAACGGUGCUCUGGAUUUCUGUCAUGGGAUGCUGGACUGGCGGCUCUUAUCUAAAUUAGGAUGUGGCUUGUUUGCGCCUGUGUCUACUCAUCGCCUGCAUUAUUUGCGUAGGUGUUUCAUUUCCGUUCCACAAUCUAUCCGCAGAAUGUUUUGCCGGCGUACUCAUCGUACCUUUGCCCCUGAACUCAUCUCGACACCGAGAAUUUCCUUUUUCUUACUUUCACAUGUGAUUUUCUUUGUUUUCUUAUCAGUUUUGGCGCGUCAACCGUCGCCGUCGACGUCGCCAUGAUUCACAUUUCCCUUGCCGCCUCGUCUGUUUGCUUAAAAAACUGCACUUUUACAAGGGCCAAGCCAAGGCAAGCCAAGACUUUCGGUGCUGCAGCAGUGACGCCCUUGGGUCGCCUUCGAUGCGGUUCCCUCCGGUGAAAUUUGGCGCAUUUCGGGGUGCGUGCCUUAUCGGGGUCGGUUCCACGACAUUAGAUACCGCAUAAAUCACAGCCUAGUCGCGGUUUUUUGCUUGAUUAUUGCCACUUUUUUAUCUUUUUCGCUGCGGUUGGCUAUAAAGUCUCUGGCUUUUAUCUAUGUGCAAACACGCGAAAGCAAUGAUAUUAAGACACUGGCGACCUUAUUUCCUCUGUCUCUGGCCCACAGGAAAACAACUAGUUUUAUUAGUUUUAAUAAAAAGAAGUUACGGCCAGUUUGGGGAAACGUAACAAUAAGGAAAUUAAAUAUAGAACGGACAAGAAUUGAAUGAAAUAUAAAUAUUUACUAGGAAAAUUGUUUCACAUGAAAGUAACAGAAAAAUGCAAAAUUAGGUUGAAAACAAUUUGAAGAAAUAAAUAAACAAUAAAUAGAAGUUUCAUGCAAUAUGCG
Molecule: long non-coding RNA, 4462 nt
Filed under: Drosophila guanche
Lineage: Eukaryota; Metazoa; Arthropoda; Insecta; Diptera; Drosophilidae
Source: RNAcentral